Molecule: ribosomal RNA, 253 nt
Filed under: uncultured bacterium
Lineage: Bacteria
Description: partial 16S ribosomal RNA
Rfam family: Bacterial small subunit ribosomal RNA
Source: RNAcentral
UACGUAGGGGGCAAGCGUUGUCCGGAAUCAUUGGGCGUAAAGGGCGCGUAGGCGGCCCGCUAAGUCGAACGUGAAAUCCCCGAGCUCAACUCGGGAACUGCGUCCGAUACUGGCGGGCUUGAAUCCGGGAGAGGGAUGCGGAAUUCCAGGUGGAACGGUGAAAUGUGUAGAGAUGUGGAGGAACACCGAUGGCGAAGGCAGCCUCCUGGGCCAACACUGACGCUCAUGCACGAAAGCGUGGGGAGCAAACAGG